CUGUUUUGGCACUAGAUAUAUUAAAAUUGGAACAAUGUAAAGAAGAUGAGGCCUUAUCCUUGAGCAAAGUGAUAUACAAAUCUGUGAAGUGGUCCAUGUAUUU
This is a small nuclear RNA of Ursus maritimus (polar bear), 103 nucleotides long. The record is from Ensembl. NCBI's taxonomy places the organism in Eukaryota, Metazoa, Chordata, Mammalia, Carnivora, Ursidae.